Non-coding RNA from Momordica charantia (bitter melon), 431 nucleotides. NCBI's taxonomy places the organism in Eukaryota, Viridiplantae, Streptophyta, Magnoliopsida, Cucurbitales, Cucurbitaceae. The record is from RefSeq and is a predicted model, not a curated record.
AUCCACUAUAUAAAUCCUCAAUUACACAGCGCCCUCAUUGCCAAUGCCUCUCCCGAUUACAAUCCCGUCUUUCUUCUCUUCCAACCCUAAAUCUCUGUAAAAUUUUCUUCGUUUGAAAGCUGGUGAAGAAGAUCGCAGUGACGACUCCGUAAAAUUCAAGCUCAACAGACCGGAUUGCAGAGCUUUCCUCUUUCUAUUUGAGAGAGAGAAAGAUCUUUGCGUGUCGAAUACCCCGCUGAACUGAGCGAUCUCUUCACUCGGCAAUUUUCACGAAUUGGUUUCAUCUGUGGCCUAUUGGAAUACAAUAAAGUUAUUAAACAUAAUUGAGUUCUUGGUAAAUAACUAUGUGAAGACCAGUGCAUCUACACUUACAAAGUAGUUGAAUGGUUCCAAAUCGUUAUACCUUCUAUUAAACAUGGAUUUAAGGGAAA